This is a long non-coding RNA of Raphanus sativus (radish), 847 nucleotides long. RefSeq lists it as uncharacterized. The transcript is spliced from 4 exons. NCBI's taxonomy places the organism in Eukaryota, Viridiplantae, Streptophyta, Magnoliopsida, Brassicales, Brassicaceae. The record is from RefSeq and is a predicted model, not a curated record.
UCCAGCUCGUCACCACCAUCACCAUAUCUCUCAUCCGCUUCGAUGGUUCAGGUCGGCGGGGAACAUGCUUUGAUGGUUCAGGUCGCUGGAGAUGUCUCGUUCUCUGAGUAUGAGCCUCCCUCUUGGCAGAGCCAAAGUUUCUCCGGGCUGAUUUCAGGGUUUCAUAAGGGGUUGUUGGAUCAUGUAGCUUCUUAGUUAUGACCUCUAGCACAACAUGAGAUCGAAGGGUAUCACAGGACACAAUUGUUGCUUGAGUAGAAGCCCGUGAUUGUUAGUUACAUUAACUGGAAAACAAUGGAAACAGAGAAUCAAUUGACAAAGGCUAGAGAGCCCAAAGUACCCACACAUCAGUGCAACUCCAAGGAACAAGUCUGACCAUUUUAAAAUGUGCUUCCUGUUUAGCUCGUCACUUUCUUCUUUGUGCUUGCUUCUAGUGUUGUUGUAUUGGCAGUGCGUUAGUCUCAAAGCAACUUUCCAUUAGAGGAAGACCACAAAGACGUGAGCCUCGGUUCAGAUUUUCUAGACUGGUUGAAUUUUGCGGUGUUUUGGAAUGCUUGGAGCCUGAGUUCCCAAGAGCAUUGGCACGUGUUGAACUUGCUAUUUGAGAGGCUUAUUCUGGACAAAAUCAAAUCAACAGGAUCUUCAGACUUGAGUUCUUACUAUUCUGUUGUCCAGGUAUUGGUUCAAAUGUAUUAGCAUGAAGACUGUCCUGAAAAAGAGCCUCCUUGCCAUGGGUUCUAUGCAGACUUCACUAUGGCAACAAGAAUAACAAUACCAGAUUUCAUCACCAGUUUAUCCGUUCUAUUUUGCAAUGAGUUCAUGUGUUUCAUGUAUUGAUUUUGUGUGU